Molecule: long non-coding RNA, 7368 nt
Filed under: Lactuca sativa (garden lettuce)
Lineage: Eukaryota; Viridiplantae; Streptophyta; Magnoliopsida; Asterales; Asteraceae
Description: long non-coding RNA (LSAT_LNC001167)
Source: RNAcentral
UGCUGAAUCUACUCUAUCGUCUUAUGCACUAUCUCAGUGCUACCCAUCACUCGUUGCCCUACCUCUUGUAACAGCCUGGAAUCUCAGGUAUUGUUAAAUUAUGUUUUUGGGGUGAUUUAAGAGGGGACUCGACGAGUUGGAGCCUAGACUCGCCGAGUAGGAUCGCAGACUUGGUCGCGGGAUCGCGACUGGACUCGACGAGUCCAGAUAUGGACUCGGUGAGUCUACGCUGUUUAGCGAAAACCCUAACCGUUCAGGUUUGGGACGUAUAAAAAGGACUCAUUGGCCGUCAUUGUUCAUUUUAGCCUUCUGAGAAGAACCCUAAAUCGAUUGUGUGCAUCUGGAGCAAGGAUUAUAGGCCAUUGUUGAUUAUACAAGAGUGGUUGUGCAAGGAAGAGAAGGGAUUGGCUAAAGGAACAACAAGGGAGUCACAUUCUGAGGAUUGGGGACACAAAGAAUACAUCAUCCAGGUAAGAAUUUGAGUAUACUCUGCUAUGUUGAUGUGAUUAUGGAAUUAGGGUUUAUGGAACCCUUUUGUGAAUAGAUUCAAUGUUACCCUAGUCCCCUAAUCGAUUGUAACCCUGUAUUGGGACCUUUGGAGGUCCAUAAUGUCCCAUGUCUGUGCAUUUCGGGAAUUGAUGAAGGUUUUGGAUUGGAAUCCUUAUGCCUUAGAUCAAAAUGUAAAUUAUGAAUCAUAAGGUGUAUCAUGAGCACUGAAAUGAGGACUUUACGUGAUGGAUCAGCCUAGGAAGGCCAGACCUAGGAAUGGUCGGAGCAGUUCUGACCUUAUGAUGCAGUUUGAGCAGUUGCAUGGCAUGGACUCGCCGAGUUCGACGAACAGACUCGGCGAGUAGCUUGAAGAUUAACUGGGACUCGUCGAGUUGUUCUUCAGACUCGGCGAGUUGAGUCGGGGUGGCCCCGCGAUUCUUCCAGGAGUAACUCGUCGGGUCAAGGAGGAUACUCGACGAGUAGAUAGGGAAUCUCAGAGAGUUGGAGGACGUCUAGACUCGCCGAGUCGCCAUGGCACUCGCCGAGUCCGGUCGAGUUGACCGUUGACCGUUGACCGUUGACCAGAGUUGACCUAAGUCUGACUUCUUAGGGAUAGUCACACUUAGAAGAUAUAAGUGUUAAUGAGAGAUAUGUGAUGUUAUAGGGAGGUUGUAGCUCGACGGAUUGUGCACGAGUGAUUUCAGGAUUUGCUAGCUUUCAGCAUUCACGAGGUGAGUCUUCUCACUAUACUGUACCCGGAAGGGUUUGACUGUGUGACCGGAAGGUCAGAUAUGAUAUGUGAUAUGUAUGCUAUAUGUGGUAAGUUGUUUGUUAUAUGUGCUAUGUAUGUUAUGGGCCGGAAGGCGAUUAUAUUAUGGGCCGGAAGGCAAUAUGUUAUGGGCCGGAAGGCGAUAUGUUGUGUGAUGGACCGGAAGGUCGGCGUGGGUAGGACCGGAAGGUUUACCCAGCAGGGACGGAAGUCCCCUGAGACACAUGGACCGGAAGGUCAGGGCCUGGAAAGGCGUAUGUGCGUAAGUUGUAUAUUGGGGAACUCACUAAGCAUUUAUGCUUACAGUUGUUAUGUAUGUGUUUCAGGUACUAGCGAGGACCGUGGGAAGGCGCCGGCGUGAUCGAUACACACUGAAGGAUGUUUUUAUGAUCUUGGGAUUUAGACAAUUUGUAUUUGACAUGACACUUAAAUUAUUUAUGCCUUGUUUUGAAUGGAAAUACUUUAUUUUUAAAAUGAAAAAUUUGUUUGAAAAUUUGCGUUGUUACAAUUGGUAUCAGAGCCUUGGUUUGAGGGAUUCGGGUGCACCUUCGGGAGUAACUGAACUCAAACCGAGGAUUUGAGGAAAACUUUUUAAAUAAAGGCAUAAACUUUUGUAAAUGGUUUUGUGGUAAGCAAGAAAGAAGCAGUGUGUACGAUCAGUCAGCGCCCGAACGGUAAAGAUCCCCAAAAUACCUUACAAUAUUAUAUGAUAUGAAUUGUUAUGCAUGCUAGAAGACUAGGUAUUCAUGAUAGGACUAGAGUGGCCUGAUUUGUGAUGCCUUAGUCUAGGGAAGUUUGCCGAUAUGAGAUGCUUUGCUAGUGUGCGGGUAGAUAGUGCAUAACAGAAGUAGAGUACUCACUAUCCGGGGUUUGGGGAGGAAGAUUUGGGAUGAAUGCUGAUGCGGUGUGGUCGGUAGUAUUGGGCCCGUACUACCGAAGACACCGGGUCAGUGGGAGACCCAAGUAAGAAUCCCUGGAUAUCGGAGACUGAGUAGGGUUGCGUUAUCGAGUGCGAUUAUACUCGAUGGAGUCUCUGAUAGUUUUAUGUUGUAUUUCAGAGACAUCAUGGUUAGACCACGCCACGGAGCGAGUUCGAGCGGUGUGAGUGACGAGGAGAUUCGUCAGAUGAUUCACGAGGAGGUAGCUGCGGCGAUCCGGGCUGAGAUCCCGGAGAUGUUUGGGUCUAUUAAGACCACCCUGAUGGAGACGUUUGAUGAGCGGUACGCCGCAUUGACUGAGGCUGCAACCGCUGCAGCUACCGCAGCUGUGGCCGCUGCUAGGCCACAGGGGGGUGACUCGUUGCUGUUCCGAGAGUUCAGCAACACGAAGCCACCAGAGUUCGAUGGGACGCAGGAUCCGAUUGCUGCGAUGAGGUGGAUCGCGGAUAUAGAGGGGUGCUUCUACACUUGUUCAUGCCCGGAGCACCUGAGGGUACGGUUCGCUUUGAACCAGCUCCGUCUGGGAGCGAAGGAUUGGUGGAAGUUCGUGACGGCGAACUUCACUUUGGCAGAGAUUACAGCAGUGACAUGGGAGGGGUUUACUGCUAUGUUCAGGGACGAGUACGUUCCCCCGGUGGAGAGGGAACGAUUGGUUCAGGAGUUCUUAACCCUCAAGCAGGGUACUGAUUCUGUUGCGGUGAUCACGCGGAAGUUUCAUGAGAGGGCGAUGUUCUGCCCCGAGCUGGUGUCCACUGAUCAGGCUCGGAUGAGCCGGUACUUGGGAGUGUUGAGGAGGGAUAUCCGGGAGUUUGUGUCAAACUCCACUUACCAUACUUUUGCUGAGCUUCAGGCGAAUGCCAGGAAGCGCGAGAUCGAGUUGGAGACCCAGGCCAGGGAGGAGGCCGAGUCUCAGCGGGUGGACCGGCGACCGGCUCAGUUCCAGCCGGCAGCCAAGCGGAUAAAGUCCGCCGAUUCGAGGACAGGAGGUUCGAAGGGCCGCACUUGCGGAAAGUGCGGCAAGGGUCAUGAUGGGGCAUGUCGAUCUGGUGCUUGCUACAAGUGUGGCAAGGAGGGGCACAUUGCUAGGGAGUGCCCCAAGGGGUUUACGGUUUGCUUUCAUUGCAACCAGACAGGCCAUCGGAAGGCCGAGUGCCCUCAGCUUCUUCAGGGAUCUGCACCUGCUGCCAGAGCUACUGCGACUCGACCGGUGAAGGCCGAGGCCCCGAGGGCUCGGGGAAGAGCCUUUCAGCUGACUGCGGAGGAGGUCCGCGCUGCGCCCGAUGUUGUGGCAGGUAUGCUGUAAUUCAUGUAUUUAUUUUAAUGUCGAGAUGUUAUGCUUAUGUUAUUAUAUGCGUAGGUACUUUCCUUGUGAACUCUGUGCCUGCCUUAGUGUUAUUUGACUCGGGUGCGAGUAGGUCCUUUGUAUCUUUAGCCUUUAGUCAGCAUAUCAGCGUUAGUCGUGAGUCGUUGAGUCGACCUUUGAGAGUUUCUAUAGCUGACGAGAAAGUGAUUUGUGCCACGGAGGUUCUUCGGGGAUGUGUACUAGAGAUUUUCGGGGUUGAAUUCCCGAUUGACCUGAUUCCUAUUGCGAUGGGUGAUGUCUGUGUCAUCGUGGGCAUGGACUGGUUGAGCCGAUUCGGCGCUGUCAUCGACUGUGAGCGUCAGUUGGUGACUAUACGAGACCAUAGUGGGGGAGUUCUUUCGGUGUACGGCGAGGGUACCCGUUCGGGAUCAGCUUUUUGUUCGGCCGCUAGGGCGAGGCAGUGUCUACAGCAGGGCUGUAAGGGUUUUGUGGCGUAUGUGAUGGAUACGCGGGAGGUUUCCGAGAGACCGAAGUCAGUUGAGGAGGUCCCUGUGGUGCGUGAGUUUCCAGAUGUUUUCCCCGAGGAGCUGCCGGGAGUACCUCCUGUGAGGCAAGUAGAGUUUGGUAUCGAUCUGGUUCCGGGGGCCGCGCCUAUUGCUAAGGUGCCUUAUCGUCUUGCACCUCCAGAGAUGCAAGAGUUGUCCUCGCAGCUCCAGGAGUUGCUGGGGAAGGGAUUCAUUCGGCCGAGCAGCUCGCCGUGGGGAGCACCUAUUCUGUUCGUCAAGAAGAAGGAUGGUUCACACCGGAUGUGCAUUGAUUACCGGGAGUUGAACAAGUUGACGGUCAAGAACCGUUACCCGUUACCGAGGAUCGAUGAUUUAUUCGAUCAGUUGCAGGGAGCAUCUUGGUUUUCCAAGAUCGAUCUGAGGUCAGGGUACCAUCAGGUGAGAGUGCGGGAUGAGGACGUCCAGAAGACAGCGUUUAGGACGCGAUAUGGGCAUUAUGAGUUUGUGGUGAUGCCUUUCGGGCUCACCAAUGCCCCGGCUGUGUUCAUGGAUCUCAUGAACAGGGUAUGCAGGCCGAUGUUGGAUCGGUCAGUGAUUGUAUUUAUCGACGACAUUCUAGUGUAUUCGAGAUCUAGAGAGCAGCAUGAGGAGCAUUUGAGGGAGGUCCUUGAGGUAUUGAGGUCGGAGAAGCUUUAUGCAAAGUUCUCCAAAUGUGACUUCUGGUUGCGGGAGGUCCAAUUUCUAGGACAUGUUGUUAAUCAGAAAGGGAUAUUGGUCGAUCCGGCCAAGGUUGAGGCGGUGAUGAGUUGGGAGGUGCCGAAGUCACCCUCUGAGAUCAGGAGCUUCCUUGGGUUGGCAGGGUAUUAUCGGAGAUUCAUUAAGGAUUUCUCCAAGAUCGCAGUGCCGCUCACCAGAUUGACCCGGAAGGGUGUUGCAUUCUCAUGGGGGCCCGAGCAGCAGACCUCCUUUGAGACACUUCGCCAGAGGUUGUGCGAAGCCCCGGUAUUAGCUCUCCCGGAAGGGAUGGAAGAUUUUGUAGUAUAUUGCGACGCAUCGAUUUCGGGACUGGGUGCAGUGUUGAUGCAGAGGGGUCAUGUGAUAGCUUAUGCGUCGAGGCAGCUGAAGCCUCAUGAGGCGAGAUAUCCCACGCAUGAUUUAGAGUUGGGGGCAGUAGUGUUCGCUCUCAAGAUUUGGCGUCACUACUUGUAUGGGGUUCGAUGUACGAUAUACACGGACCAUAAGAGCUUGAAGUAUUUGAUGGAUCAGCCCAACCUAAAUAUGCGUCAGAGGAGGUGGUUGGAUGUGGUCAAGGAUUAUGAUUGUGAGAUCCUGUACCACCCAGGCAAGGCUAAUGUGGUAGCCGAUGCAUUGAGCCGCAGGGCGGAGAGCACUCCAUUGCGAGAUGUAUGCUUGAGACUGACUGUGAUGACUCCAGUAUUGGAUGCUAUUCGUGGGGCACAGGCCGAGGCUGUGCGACCAGAGAUGCAGAAGAAAGAGCGGGUCGUUGGGUUAAUUUCAGAGUUCGUUAAGGAUGGACGAGGGCUUCUGACGUUUCAGGGUCGGAUUUGGGUACCGUUCGUGGGCGGUACGCGUAUUACUUUGAUGGAAGAGGCUCAUAGAUCGAAAUUCUCGAUCCAUCCCGGUGCUACGAAGAUGUAUUUGGAUUUGAGGAAAGAGUAUUGGUGGCCCUGUAUGAAGAGGGACGUCGCAUGGUUCGUUGAGAGGUGCUUGACCUGUCGUAGGGUUAAGGCCGAGCACCAGAGACCGCAUGGCAAGUUACAGCCAUUGGAGAUCCCCGAGUGGAAGUGGGAACAGAUCACUAUGGAUUUCAUCACCAAAUUGCCGAGGACUGCCAGGGGAGUUGAUGCAAUUUGGGUGAUUGUGGAUAGGUUGACGAAGAGUGCACACUUCCUUGCCAUCAGUGAGAGUUCUUCAGCGGAGAAGUUGGCGGAGAUAUAUGUGAGAGAAGUGGUAUCUCGGCAUGGGGUGCCGAUCUCGAUUGUUUCAGACCGUGAUGUGCGCUUCACUUCCAGGUUCUGGAAGAAAUUCCAUGAGGAGCUGGGUACUAAAUUGCAUUUUAGUACCGCAUACCAUCCCCAGACAGACGGUCAGAGCGAGCGGACGAUUCAGACGCUGGAGGACAUGCUUCGAGCGUGUGUGUUAGACUUCGGGGGUAGCUGGGAUGCGUAUUUACCCUUAGCAGAGUUUUCCUACAACAACAGCCAUCAUUCGAGCAUUGGUAUGCCACCUUUUGAGCUGUUGUAUGGUAGGAGGUGUCGGACCCCCAUUUGCUGGGGAGAGGUGGGACAGAGAGUGAUGGGCAGCACAGAGAUCGUGCUUCAGACGACAGAGCAGAUUCAGCAAGUUAGACAGAGGUUAUUGACCGCCCAGAGCCGACAGAAGAGUUAUGCAGACAGGCGCCGAUCCGAGCUUGAGUUUCAAGUCGGCGACUUCGUUCUCCUGAAGGUCUCUCCUUGGAAAGGAGUGAUUCGAUUCAGGAAGAGGGGCAAGUUGGGGCCCCGGUAUAUUGGGCCAUUUCGUGUGAUUGCAAGGAUAGGCCGGGUAGCCUAUCGGUUGGAGUUGCCAGCGGAGUUGGGUCAGAUCCACGACACUUUUCAUGUGUCGCAAUUGAGGAAGUGCAUAGCCGAUGAGUCGGCAGUGGUUCCAUUGGAGGAUAUUCAGGUGGAUGCGAGCCUGAAUUAUGCUGAGAGACCAGUGGCCAUCAGGGAUCGGAAGAUCAAGGUUCUGAGGAACAAGGAGGUACCUCUGGUGUUGGUUCAGUGGCAACACCGGAAGGGAUCGGAAAUGACUUGGGAGCCGGAACGUGAGAUGCGGGAGCAGCAUCCGGAACUAUUUUCAGAGUGAGACUUCGAGGGCGAAGUCUAAUCCUAGUGGGGGAGAGUUGUAACAGCCCGGAAUCUCAGGUAUUGUUAAAUUAUGUUUUUGGGGUGAUUUAAGAGGGGACUCGGCGAGUUGGAGCCUAGACUCGCCGAGUAGGAUCGCAGACUUGGUCGCGGGUUCGCGACUGGACUCGACGAGUCCAGAUAUGGACUCGGCGAGUCUACGCUGUUUAGCGAAAACCCUAACCGUUCAGGUUUGGGACGUAUAAAAGGGACUCAUUGGCCGUCAUUGUUCAUUUUAGCCUUCUGAGAAGAACCCUAAAUCGAUUGUGUGCAUCUGGAGCAAGGAUUAUAGGCCAUUGUUGAUUAUAGAAGAGUGGUUGUGCAAGGAAGAGAAGGGAUUGGCUAAAGGAGCAGCAAGGGAGUCACAUUCUGAGGAUUGGGGACACAGAGAAUACAUCAUCCAGGUAAGAAUUCGAGUAUACUCUGCUAUGUUGAUGUGAUUAUGGAAUUAGGGUUUAUG